AGACACAGACGACGCCGCGUGAACGAAGAAGGCCUUCUUUUCGGAAGCUCAAUAGUAUGGGAAGACAAUGACGAUACCAUAUAAAAACCCCGGCUAGCUACGUGCCAGCAGCCGCGGGAAUACGUAAGGGGAGAGCGAUGUCCGGAAUUACUGUCUUUUAAGAGCACGUAGGCGAUGCGCUAGCCCCAUGCGAAAAACCUGGGCUCAACCGACGGAGUGCAUCUGAAACUAUAUAACUUGCCGAAGGAUAGGAGAGUGGAAUUCCUGUUGAAGAGCCGAAAGGCUUAUACAUUCACAAGAAUACCCUGGGCGAGUGUGUCCCCCUGGGCUCGAAAUGACCCUG
Molecule: ribosomal RNA, 343 nt
Filed under: uncultured bacterium
Lineage: Bacteria
Description: bacterial SSU rRNA
Rfam family: Bacterial small subunit ribosomal RNA
Source: RNAcentral